GGAAAGCGAGUCUAUGAUCCAGGCAUACCGAUGAUGGAGAAAGGUUUUCUCGUAGAACCUUAUUUUGCAUGAAGGAAUGGACAGCGUCGAGCUCGAGACAAUAAACAAGAGCGCUGACUGGGAGGCAACCCAGAAUAAGGUCGCUGGUAUGACCAUUACUGCUUUAGUUUCAUGUUUCUUUUAUUUUUCUUGUGUUUUGUGUUUCUUGGAGGACUAACCAUGCAGAAGAGUUGAGCUGGACCCUAUGCAUUGAAGAUCAAAACCCACUUUGCGAAGCAAAGUGUGUAGGUGGGGCCGGUGGAGAUACAGUAGGUGGUCAAGGGAUUACCGCAUCAGCAGUAUGAUUGGUCAGGGUCUGCCCGACUGGCAAGACCUUUGCAUUUUGAAGGAUCGGGAAAUUCAUUCGCCCACUCUCCACCACUCCAUAGCUGCUACACAUGAUCUCAAUGCCAUACUGAUGCCAAGGCAAUUUUGUUGGACAUUUGGGAUGCAUUCCACCGAGUCCUCACACUCCAUGAAUAAGUUUUCUCUCCCUAGUAGUCUUUGUUUUUUCUUUUGAGUCUUGAGUUAGAGUCUGUCUGCACAUGUUGUUGGUAUUGGUGAUUCAUGCAUGCUAUUUGGUUUGACUGGUUUGUUGGUAUGAUGAGCAUGAUCACAUGAUAGCAGUAGUGAGCAUACUGAAUACUCCCACCUGUGAGAUCUGAGCCAAAAUUGCAUUUAUUUUCUGUGUGACUAUGCUGCUUGGUAACCCUAGAACUUGUUUAUGGAUUUUAGCUAGUUGGUAUAAUUUACAUGAUUAGGGCAAUUUUCUUCAAUCUAGAGCCCCAG
This 828-nucleotide long non-coding RNA is filed under the name Salvia miltiorrhiza (redroot sage). RNAcentral's name for it is "long non-coding RNA (SMIL_LNC009088)". Lineage: Eukaryota; Viridiplantae; Streptophyta; Magnoliopsida; Lamiales; Lamiaceae. The record is from RNAcentral.